GGAUGUGAGGGUGAUCUGGCUGUGACAUCUGUCACCCCAUUGAUCACCAGGGUUGAUUUGGCUGAUCUGGCUGGCUGGGCGGGUGUCCCUUCCUUCCUCACAGCUCCAUGUGCGUCCCUCCCAAAGCUAAGCACUCGGUGGAAGAGGACGAUGUCCCAGGUAUAAAAGGAGUGUACUGUGGUCUCCAGUGUUCAGUCCUGGGUAUACGAUAGCUGUGCUCCCCUGCUAGAACCUCCAAACAAGCUCAAGGCAUGUAUAUUAGAAAAGCCCUGAAAACAUGGCUAUGUGCCCAGGCUUU
Molecule: small nuclear RNA, 298 nt
Filed under: Anolis carolinensis (green anole)
Lineage: Eukaryota; Metazoa; Chordata; Lepidosauria; Squamata; Anolidae
Description: 7SK RNA
Rfam family: 7SK RNA
About the family: 7SK was discovered as an abundant small nuclear RNA in the mid-70s but a possible function has only recently been suggested. Two independent studies have found that 7SK RNA binds the CDK9/cyclin T complex (known as elongation factor P-TEFb).
Source: Rfam by way of RNAcentral